AACGAACGCUGGCGGCAUGCCUAACACAUGCAAGUCGAACGAGACCUUCGGGUCUAGUGGCGCACGGGUGCGUAACGCGUGGGAACCUGCCCUUAGGUUCGGAAUAACUCCCCGAAAGGGGUGCUAAUACCGGAUAAUGUCUUCGGACCAAAGAUUUAUCGCCUUUGGAUGGGCCCGCGUUGGAUUAGCUAGUUGGUAGGGUAAAAGCCUACCAAGGCGACGAUCCAUAGCUGGUCUGAGAGGAUGAUCAGCCACACUGGGACUGAGACACGGCCCAGACUCCUACGGGAGGCAGCAGUGGGGAAUAUUGGACAGUGGGCGAAAGCCUGAUCCAGCAAUGCCGCGUGAGUGAUGAAGGCCUUAGGGUUGUAAAGCUCUUUUACCCGGGAUGGUAAUGACAGUACCGGGAGAAUAAGCUCCGGCUAACUCCGUG
This 433-nucleotide ribosomal RNA is filed under the name uncultured bacterium. Its description in RNAcentral is "partial 16S ribosomal RNA". It matches the Rfam family "Bacterial small subunit ribosomal RNA", at positions 29 to 507 of the family's 1533-position model. The record is from RNAcentral.